GAGUUUGAUCCUGGCUCAGGAUGAACGCUGGCGGCGUGCCUAAUACAUGCAAGUCGAGCGAACGGACGAGAAGCUUGCUUCUCUGAUGUUAGCGGCGGACGGGUGAGUAACACGUGGAUAACCUACCUAUAAGACUGGGAUAACUUCGGGAAACCGGAGCUAAUACCGGAUAAUAUUUUGAACCGCAUGGUUCAAAAGUGAAAGACGGUCUUGCUGUCACUUAUAGAUGGAUCCGCGCUGCAUUAGCUAGUUGGUAAGGUAACGGCUUACCAAGGCAACGAUGCAUAGCCGACCUGAGAGGGUGAUCGGCCACACUGGAACUGAGACACGGUCCAGACUCCUACGGGAGGCAGCAGUAGGGAAUCUUCCGCAAUGGGCGAAAGCCUGACGGAGCAACACCGCGUGAGUGAUGAAGGUCUUCGGAUCGUAAAACUCUGUUAUUAGGGAAGAACAUAUGUGUAAGUAACUGUGCACAUCUUGACGGUACCUAAUCAGAAAGCCACGGCUAACUACGUGCCAGCAGCCGCGGUAAUACGUAGGUGGCAAGCGUUAUCCGGAAUUAUUGGGCGUAAAGCGCGCGUAGGCGGUUUUUUAAGUCUGAUGUGAAAGCCCACGGCUCAACCGUGGAGGGUCAUUGGAAACUGGAAAACUUGAGUGCAGAAGAGGAAAGUGGAAUUCCAUGUGUAGCGGUGAAAUGCGCAGAGAUAUGGAGGAACACCAGUGGCGAAGGCGACUUUCUGGUCUGUAACUGACGCUGAUGUGCGAAAGCGUGGGGAUCAAACAGGAUUAGAUGCCCUGGUAGUCCACGCCGUAAACGAUGAGUGCUAAGUGUUAGGGGGUUUCCGCCCCUUAGUGCUGCAGCUAACGCAUUAAGCACUCCGCCUGGGGAGUACGACCGCAAGGUUGAAACUCAAAGGAAUUGACGGGGACCCGCACAAGCGGUGGAGCAUGUGGUUUAAUUCGAAGCAACGCGAAGAACCUUACCAAAUCUUGACAUCCUUUGACAACUCUAGAGAUAGAGCCUUCCUCUUCGGGGGACAAAGUGACAGGUGGUGCAUGGUUGUCGUCAGCUCGUGUCGUGAGAUGUUGGGUUAAGUCCCGCAACGAGCGCAACCCUUAAGCUUAGUUGCCAUCAUUAAGUUGGGCACUCUAAGUUGACUGCCGGUGACAAACCGGAGGAAGGUGGGGAUGACGUCAAAUCAUCAUGCCCCUUAUGAUUUGGGCUACACACGUGCUACAAUGGACAAUACAAAGGGCAGCGAAACCGCGAGGUCAAGCAAAUCCCAUAAAGUUGUUCUCAGUUCGGAUUGUAGUCUGCAACUCGACUACAUGAAGCUGGAAUCGCUAGUAAUCGUAGAUCAGCAUGCUACGGUGAAUACGUUCCCGGGUCUUGUACACACCGCCCGUCACACCACGAGAGUUUGUAACACCCGAAGCCGGUGGAGUAACCUUUUAGGAGCUAGCCGUCGAAGGUGGGACAAAUGAUUGGGGUGAAGUCGUAACAAGGUAGCCGUAUCGGAAGGUGCGGCUGGAUCACC
This 1538-nucleotide ribosomal RNA is filed under the name Staphylococcus aureus subsp. aureus CIG1750. RNAcentral's name for it is "16S ribosomal RNA". It matches the Rfam family "Bacterial small subunit ribosomal RNA". Lineage: Bacteria; Bacillati; Bacillota; Bacilli; Caryophanales; Staphylococcaceae. The record is from RNAcentral.